This is a long non-coding RNA of Passer domesticus (house sparrow), 603 nucleotides long. RefSeq lists it as uncharacterized. The transcript is spliced from 4 exons. NCBI's taxonomy places the organism in Eukaryota, Metazoa, Chordata, Aves, Passeriformes, Passeridae. The record is from RefSeq and is a predicted model, not a curated record.
GCAACCAAGGCACUCAGAGAGGCAACAGCAGCACAGGGACCAAUCCUGCUCCUCAGUUCAUUUCUGUUUGUGACAAUGGCAUCACUGGAACUGUGGGUUAUGUCAUAGGAGAUAUGAGUCAUCAGAGAGAGUUUGGAAAAGAAUUCCAAGACCUCCAAAUCCAACCUUUGAUCUGAGUCAUCAGAGAGAGUUUGGAAAAGAAUUCCAAGACCUCCAAAUCCAACCUUUGAUCUGAGUCAUCAGAGAAAGGUGUCUGGGGAAAGAGGCUGAACCCCACCUGGCUACAGCCUUGGAACAUGUAGAUGUGGAGUCCAGGUCAGCCUUCCUGAGGCAUCAGAUGGAGGAAUAAAACACCAAGGUACCCACAAGCAGAUAUAGCAAAAAAUUGUGAAGAAGGAAAAUAACCUGGAUCCAUCCUCCCUUAACUCCAGCUCUGCUCAGACACCCGUGAGUCACCCCAGCAUUUUUAGCUCCUUACAUAACUACUGCCAAAAGGGAAGGUGUUCCAGCAGAGCUGCCAACACAAAUGCCCAGGGACCAGCUCUGCACCCCGUGGGAUGAGUAAGCACCGGCUGCAGCACGAGCAGGGAGCAUCUCUCACAC